Molecule: long non-coding RNA, 2295 nt
Organism: Serinus canaria (Common canary)
Lineage: Eukaryota; Metazoa; Chordata; Aves; Passeriformes; Fringillidae
Exons: 3
Source: RefSeq, a predicted model, not a curated record
GAAGAGGAGGAGGAGGAGGACAGUCCAGCUUGCACCCCCAUGCUGGGCGGGCGGGGAAAGGGUAUCGCUAGCACCAGAUGAAUAUUGAUUGUCUGGUAUGGAGAUUUGUCGGAAAGGACAAGGAAAAUGGCAUUUCAUGAACCAGAGAUGGUGACUUCUUACCGGAGAUAAGGCCAAAAGCUGCAGAUCUUGCACACAUGUAGAACCAAAACCAUCACAAAGAGGCCCUUGAGGUUUUCUGAAACCUCUUUUUUUAUUAAAAAUGAAAUCUGCACGAAGAAUAUGCAAUUUUUUUCAACCCUGAAGAAUAGAAGUGAUUUUUCUCUUUAAAAGAAGAAAAAUGGUGACAAAAGCUCCAACAAGAGUAAGAAUAAAAUUUGAGAUACCUGCUCCACACCCAAACAGAUGCUUGACCCAGAGAGAACUGAUGUCUCUUGCCUAUACAGUGGUGCAGAACAUUUGUUUGCUUCUUUGCCAUUCCUAAACCAAGGAAGACUGUGACAGAGGAAUCCCACAGAAGAAUGGGAAAUGGACACUUCCCAGUGGUGAUGCUUGCUUUGGAUUUGGACAAAUAUCACCAUGAAAGUCUCUUCAUGUAGGUAGAGUGGCCCAAACCCUGUUUUCUCAGCUCCUGUAGCAGACCUUGGCCAGGGUGGAAGUUCACCUGAGCAAGGAGGUCCUUUUUAAUUUUUAAAAUGUACACUUUAUUUUUAAGAGCAUGGUGAGAGAACUUAUUUAUUAAAAAGUGAAUUACAAGUUGUAUAGUUGGCACCGUAAUCACUCAAAUCCAAUCAUUGUUUUUGACCUUUUCUAAAAUAAUUCCCAUGAAAUAAUUUCAAAAAAGAUACUUUAGGCAAUGCAUUUCUGGGAAUCAUUGCACUUCUCAGGUGACUGAAGUCACUUAUUCUUCAUCCUCAUGCUUCACAACACAUCUGAGGCAUGAAAUUAUUCCCUUCCAGUGUGAUGCCUUCUCCUACUCUUAUUGCUUAAAUGAUUCUUAAGGAUUAGUGUGUUAAAAGCAUUGUGAGAAAUUCGGGGCAGGGUGGGGGAAGGAGAAGAUAAUAAUUUAUAUUAGAGUUAUCAACCUGAUCCACAUUUUGGUGAUUUUUAUUCCAAUCAUAAGAGUCUGGAUCUAAUACACAUCCAUGGUAUGGGCUAGCAAAAAUAUGGAGGACACAGUGGCUUCCUUAACAGUGUGGUGUGAAUAAAACCAGUCACACAUAGCAAAAACUAUCAGAAUUUAGAUGGUUUUGUAUUUGCAAGAAUAAAGAGAAUUGCAUUCUCAGUCCACUGAUGGUUAUUGCCAGCUGUCUCCUGUGUGCAGGUACCAUUCUUUGUUCACAGGAUUUUAUGCAUUCAGCAGUGAUUUCUCUCUAAAUCCUUUUACCAUAUCUUGAUUGGUUUGCAGACAGAAUACAAAUUCUCUUGAGACAAAUGUACCAUUACCAUUUUAAAUUGUAAUCUUUUCCAGAAAAUGUUGUUGGAUUUUUGUCAUUAACAUUUGAGAACAAAAGACUGGAGUUUCAACAUUUGUUGCCACCCAUGGGGCUUUUCCUCAUAUAAGGUUCUAGUUGCAAUAUGAGGAAACAACAUUAGUUUCAUGUCCUUUGGAAAACAAUGUGCAGACAAUCACAGAAACUUACCUUCUGUGCAUUUAUUUUACUGUGAGCAAGGACUGUAAAACACAAGCAUGCAUUUUAGCUGGAGGACUACAGGAGUAAUCUCUGAAGCCAAUGUUGGGGAAAUAGUGUAUUUACUAAGUCAUUGCUUAGUAAAGUCCUUAUUUACAAAGCCCUGGUGAGCACUAAUCUCAAGCUUAAAAUUAUAAACAUAGCUGCAUGCUCUGAUAAAUCAACAUUUUAGCUGUUUCCAUUUCUGCCUCAGUGACAAACUUCAUGUAUUGCAAGAAAAUACUACAGCUGUUAAUAAAAGAUCUGUUUGAUAUCCAAGGCUGCAUCACCAAGCUGACUGUCCCUCAGUUUGAAAUGCUCUGUAAAUGCAACAAAAUAUUUAUCAGUAAAACCUUACAGCAUUAAAUACCACAAAAAUGAUUUUGUGCUCUCAAUCCAUCAUUCAUAUAUAAAUAGCAAAUGUCAUGUGAUAGAUAAUAUACAGUAUAUAAUGUAUAAACAAUGUGUUUAAAAUACUUUUAUUUCCUAAAAAUAUCUUAUUCUUAUUUAUUCUCUUCUUCUUCCUGCUGUACCCACACUUUCAUAUACCAGUAAAGUGGCAAAAAGCAGUGAGAAAACAUGAUUGCUUUUCUGUUUCACUAAUUAAAGGCCUUUGCUAAAAUUA